CAAGAGCCGAGCACGCAUCCAAACAGUCCAUAGCAAAGCAUCCAGCGUCGCAGAAGCACCUCUAGCGGCUGUCAGGAAGACAGCCACUAGAGGUUGGAUUAACCCUGCAAUGUAAACAUAGCAGUUUCUCAUAGCAAGUUUGCUACCAAACUUUAUGUGUAAUUUGAAACCCCCCCCCCCAAAAAAAACCCAAAGCAAUACAAUACAGUAGAGUGUAAUAUAUAUUAAUC
Molecule: non-coding RNA, 230 nt
Organism: Pelobates cultripes (western spadefoot toad)
Lineage: Eukaryota; Metazoa; Chordata; Amphibia; Anura; Pelobatidae
Source: the annotation of a GenBank genome assembly